CCGGCGCCGGCUCUCGGUGCGGCGACGACGCCUCGCUCUGGCAGCCAGCCGCCCGCCCACCGACCCACAACAGCCGCGGCGUGGCCGCAGCCGACCUCCUCUGCCAUCCUCAGCUGGCAGAAACGACCUCACCCGGACCGAAGAGACGGACGUCACCCCAAAGCCCGUUCAGUCGCUGCGAUCCUGGGAGUUUCCCUCGUCCCGAUGGGCGGAACUGGAGGAGUUUUAAGCGCCGUCUGGUCUCGGGGGUUGGGUGGGCACCGAAAGACCCCGGACCGAUUUCCCAAACUACCCAAGAGCCGAAACAAGGGGGUGAAAACACAUAGGGUUGGAGGUGUGGCUUGCCUAGCAUGAGUGGCAGCCCGAGUUCCAUCCCCUAGGUUCCCUUCCUUGAGCCUAGACUUACUUUUCCUCCCAGUCCGUUUUUUUAUAAACCGAGAUAGUCUGGUCACCCGAAAUUUGCCUGGGUAUUUAAAAGGGUUUUUACUGUGGAAUAUUUUGAAUAUACACAAAAGUAUAGAUGAUGCUAUGGUGCACCACAACGUA
Molecule: long non-coding RNA, 546 nt
Organism: Peromyscus leucopus (white-footed mouse)
Lineage: Eukaryota; Metazoa; Chordata; Mammalia; Rodentia; Cricetidae
Exons: 2
Source: RefSeq, a predicted model, not a curated record